Long non-coding RNA from Homo sapiens (human), 621 nucleotides. RefSeq annotates it as PPEF2 antisense RNA1. The record is from RefSeq and is a predicted model, not a curated record. NCBI's taxonomy places the organism in Eukaryota, Metazoa, Chordata, Mammalia, Primates, Hominidae. The transcript is spliced from 2 exons.
AGACUUCCAUGGUAUAUCCACAAUAAAGGGCUUGUUCACAAAAGGAACUCUGUGUGAGCACAUAAUCAAAGAACGAGAACUUUCUGCAAAUAGAUCUAAGGACUGUGAUACAAGAAAGCCACGUCCCAGCUUGGACUGGCUUAGGGCAAGAACAAAGAAGGACACCCAGAGAGGGGCAGCAGAGCUGACUGAUGUUUGAAGGACAGUCCAGAGUGAAGAGAAUAGAACAGAGCUUAUUAUCUGACAUUGGACAAGCGUUAAUCACUUUCUAGGCAGUUCCAAUCUUGGGCAUAGAGAGUGCAAAGCCACAAAAUGUAAACCAACUCAUAACAACCUUCUUGCUCCUUGUUGGCACACAGUGAGGGCCAGUCCACCAGUCCCACCUCUUCCGAUUCUCAGGUUGAGACCCGGUUGAUGUUUGGCAGCUGUACCAGAUGUUUCUUGGUUUCAUACAAAAGGUUCAAGACGUAGCGAGCAUGGAGCUGCUACUGGGAGGAAGAGGAGGGAAGGAAGAAAACAACACUGAUAUUCGUGAGGGAAAAUGGUCCUUACCUUUACUGCUUAACAACCCCCAUCACCUAAGACCCCAAAAGUAACCCCAGUAAACUGCUCCUGGGACUA